UGGACUGGAUGCCUGCACAAACUACGGAGUCUACAUGUCCGUCGUGACGAUCUCUGGGUAUGUCAGCGGAGAAGUUGGCACCAACUUCACGACCUCCGUCGCCAUCCCGUCGGCCCCACAGGAACUCCAAGUCGAAGGGACGACGGAGAGGUCUAUAAGCUUGCUUUGGUUCGCUCCUCGGACCAACAAAGCUUGCACAACGCCUACUACCUAACGUGGACCAGCGCUGACGAUGAAGGAGCACUAACCCUCGAUGAGCCUACGAAACCAUUUGAAAUUAAGAAAAACAUUGACGGUCUUCAGCCCUGCACUAAAUACUUCCUAACCCUCUCGGCCGUGACGACAUCUGGAGAACACAGCGAACCAGCCAGGCUAGACGCAUCUACUUCGUGCUAACAGACGAACUUCAUGCUUUUCUCAGCUUUUUAGCAUUUAAAAAAAAGAGAGUAAAUGGUAAUCUAAGAAAAGGCUGAAAAAUCAGUGUAUCACGCAAUAGGAUCUCUGCAACCGACCAAGCAUUGAUGAUUUUCGUGGUACAAUCAUGACCCUCAAUAAAAGAACAGCCCUGUAGGCUUGAUUUAUAACUUCGCAACACUAU
Molecule: long non-coding RNA, 598 nt
Organism: Macrobrachium nipponense
Lineage: Eukaryota; Metazoa; Arthropoda; Malacostraca; Decapoda; Palaemonidae
Exons: 3
Source: RefSeq, a predicted model, not a curated record